CGGAGAGGUGGCCGAGUGGCCGAAGGCACCCGCCUGCUAAGCGGGGGUACGAUGUGAGUCGUACCGAGGGUUCGAAUCCCUCCCUCUCCGCCAU
This 94-nucleotide transfer RNA is filed under the name Coprothermobacter proteolyticus DSM 5265. RNAcentral's name for it is "tRNA-Ser". It matches the Rfam family "tRNA". From Rfam's summary of the family: Transfer RNA (tRNA) molecules are approximately 80 nucleotides in length. Their secondary structure includes four short double-helical elements and three loops (D, anti-codon, and T loops). Lineage: Bacteria; Pseudomonadati; Coprothermobacterota; Coprothermobacteria; Coprothermobacterales; Coprothermobacteraceae. The record is from RNAcentral.